AGCAUGUUAGCUCAGGGGAAGAGCGGUAAUUUUUCAAACAAUAGGUCCCUGGAUCGAAACCAGGACAUGCUA
RNAcentral lists this transfer RNA (72 nucleotides) under Aspergillus flavus NRRL3357. Its description in RNAcentral is "tRNA-Glu (TTC) (tRNA-Glu-TTC-6-1, tRNA-Glu-TTC-6-2)". It matches the Rfam family "tRNA". From Rfam's summary of the family: Transfer RNA (tRNA) molecules are approximately 80 nucleotides in length. Their secondary structure includes four short double-helical elements and three loops (D, anti-codon, and T loops). The record is from RNAcentral. RNAcentral also lists the same sequence under 1 other name. Lineage: Eukaryota; Fungi; Ascomycota; Eurotiomycetes; Eurotiales; Aspergillaceae.